GGCUGGGGCUCAGUGGUAGAACACUCACCUCGUGUAUGUGAGGCACUGAGUUCGAUCCUCAGUGCCA
Molecule: transfer RNA, 67 nt
Filed under: Marmota monax (woodchuck)
Lineage: Eukaryota; Metazoa; Chordata; Mammalia; Rodentia; Sciuridae
Description: tRNA.Thr
Source: RNAcentral